UACGGAGGGUGCAAGCGUUGUCCGGAUUUAUUGGGUUUAAAGGGUGCGUAGGCGGUCUGGUAAGUCUGGGGUGAAAGCCCGUUGCUCAACAACGGAACUGCCCUGGAAACUGCCAGACUUGAGUACAGACGAGGGUGGCGGAAUGGAUGCUGUAGCGGUGAAAUGCAUAGAUAGCCUCCAGAACCCCGAUUGCGAAGGCAGCUGCCUAGACUGUAACUGACGCUGAGGCACGAAAGCGUGGGGAGCGAACAGG
This 253-nucleotide ribosomal RNA is filed under the name uncultured bacterium. Its description in RNAcentral is "partial 16S ribosomal RNA". It matches the Rfam family "Bacterial small subunit ribosomal RNA", at positions 524 to 776 of the family's 1533-position model. The record is from RNAcentral.